AGAUUCAGAAGUGUUCCAUUUAUUUAUUCUCUGUACCAUUUUCUUUACCUUUCUUCUGUUAGCGUUCCAAGAGAGGAAACAAAAAGGACUGCCAUUCAGUCCAGGACCAGACUGAGAUUCCCUCUACUGAUGGACAUUGCAUAGCUCCAGUUGGAGAGGUUUCUCCCUCCAUAUCUCAGCCUGUCAAAAAACGAUCCUUGAUUGUCAGGGUCUUUUCAGCAAUGAUGAAGCCAUUCAGGCGCUUCACCAAGAAGAACCUGUAACCUGUUACGCUGCAUGAAGAACUACUUUUGUAACAGCAAGACUUUUGACAAGAGAAAUUUCUGCAUGUCUAACCUUUCAAAGUCUAUUUGAUCAAAUAAAUGGCAAUGAUUUUACAAGACUUUCAAGUGUUUUGGAAGAUUGAUAAUACUGAAGCAGAUUUUCUCAGAGAAAUGCACUAGUUCCCCCUUGGUUACACAUUUAUUGUUCAGCUUUUGAGUUGGCAGGACAUAGGGCGUCAGGUAGCCUUGUGGUUAGAGCAUUGGGCCAGUAACCGAAAGGUUGCUAGCGUCAGAUCCCUGAGCUGGCCAUGUAAAAAUAUGUCGUUCUGCUCCUGAACAAGGUAGUUAACCCACUGUUCCUAAGCUGUCAUUGUAAAUAAGAAUUUGUUCUAAACUGACUUGUCUAGGAAAAUAAAUAAAAUAACCACAGCUUGACUCUAAUACAAUAGUUGCUGCAUAGACUGUCAGAUAACCAGAUGUUCUCUAUUAAUUUAGUUAGAUUGGUAAGAGCUUAUUAGCAGCAAGGGGAAAACACAUAGAGGAGAAUUAGCUAUCUGCAGCUAGAUCAACCCUCUGAGAUGCUUUCUAUAUUUUUUUUAUAUUUUUUUUUGUUUCACCUUUAUUUAACCAGGUAGGCAAGUUGAGAACAAGUUCUCAUUUACAAUUGCGACCUGGCCAAGAUAAAGCAAAGCAGUUCGACACAUACAACGACACAGAGUUACACAUGGAGUAAAACAAACAUACAGUCAAUAAUACAGUAUAAACAAGUCUAUAUACGAUGUGAGCAAAUAAGGUGAGAUAAGGGAGGUAAAAGGCAAAAAAAGGCCAUGGUGGCAAAUACAAUAUAGCAAGUAAAACACUGGAAUGGUAGAUUUGCAGUGGAAGAAUGUGCAAAGUAGAAGUAAAAAAUAAUGGGGUGCAAAGGAGCUAAAUAAAUAAAUAAAAUAAAAUAAAUACAGUAGGGAAAGAGGUAGUUGAUUGGGCUAAAUUAUAGGUGGGCUAUGUACAGGUGCAGUAAUCUGUGAACUGCUCUGACAGUUGGUGCUUAAAGCUAGUGAGGAAGAUAAGUGUUUCCAGUUUCAGAGAAUUUUUGUAGUUCGUUCCAGUCAUUGGCAGCAGAGAACUGGAAGGAGAGGUGGCCAAAGAAAUAAUUGGUUUUGGGGGUGACCAGAGAGAUAUACCUGCUGGAGUGCGUGCUACAGGUGGGUGAUGCUAUGGUGACCAGCGAGCUGAGAUAAGGGGGGACUUUACCU
RNAcentral lists this long non-coding RNA (1516 nucleotides) under Oncorhynchus mykiss (rainbow trout). Its description in RNAcentral is "lncRNA (ENSOMYG00000064837.1)". The record is from RNAcentral. Lineage: Eukaryota; Metazoa; Chordata; Actinopteri; Salmoniformes; Salmonidae.